GAAAUGCGAUACGUAAUGUGAAUUGCAGAAUUCAGUGAAUCAUCGAAUCUUUGAACGCACCUUGCGCCCCUUGGUAUUCCGAGGGGCACACCCGUUUGAGUGUCGUGUACAUCCUCAACCUUCUUGGUUUCUUGACCGAGAAGGCUUGGACUUUGGAGGUUUUCCUUGCUGGCCUCUCUUUUGAAGCCAGCUCCUCCUAAAUGAAUUAGUGGGGUCCGCAUUGCCGAUCCUUGACGUGAUAAGUAUUGCUUCUACGUCUUGGGUUUCGCACCGUUGUCCUGGAACCUGCUUCUAACGGUCUUCAAAAGAAGACAACGUUCGAGUUGCAUCGCAACUUGACCUCAGUGACCUUGACCUCAAAUUCGGGUGAGACUACCCGCUGAACUUAA
This 389-nucleotide ribosomal RNA is filed under the name Russula aff. alboareolata 338-784. Its description in RNAcentral is "eukaryotic LSU rRNA". The stretch from base 1 to 105 matches the Rfam family "5.8S ribosomal RNA", at positions 50 to 154 of the family's 154-position model. Lineage: Eukaryota; Fungi; Basidiomycota; Agaricomycetes; Russulales; Russulaceae. The record is from RNAcentral.